This 383-nucleotide ribosomal RNA is filed under the name uncultured bacterium. RNAcentral's name for it is "bacterial SSU rRNA". It matches the Rfam family "Bacterial small subunit ribosomal RNA", at positions 28 to 412 of the family's 1533-position model. The record is from RNAcentral.
GACGAACGCUGGCGGCGUGCUUAACACAUGCAAGUCGAGCGGUAAGGCCCUUUCGGGGGUACACGAGCGGCGAACGGGUGAGUAACACGUGGAUGACCUGCCUUUAGCUCUGGGAUAAGCCUGGGAAACUGGGUCUAAUACCGGAUAUGACCCUAUGGCGCAUGUUGUGGGGUGGAAAGCCUUGUGCGGCUAGGGAUGGGCCCGCGGCCUAUCAGCUUGUUGGUGGGGUGAUGGCCUACCAAGGCGACGACGGGUAGCCGGCCUGAGAGGGCGACCGGCCACGCUGGGACUGAGACACGGCCCAGACUCCUACGGGAGGCAGCAGUGGGGAAUCUUGCGCAAUGGGCGAAAGCCUGACGCAGCGACGCCGCGUGAGGGAUGAC